Molecule: ribosomal RNA, 462 nt
Filed under: uncultured bacterium
Lineage: Bacteria
Description: partial 16S ribosomal RNA
Rfam family: Bacterial small subunit ribosomal RNA
Source: RNAcentral
CCUACGGGAGGCAGCAGUGAGGAAUAUUGGUCAAUGGGCGCGAGCCUGAACCAGCCAAGUAGGGUGAAGGAUGACUGCCCUACGGGUUGUAAACUUCUUUUAUAAAGGAAUAAAGUGAGGCACGUGUGCCUUUUUGUAUGUACUUUAUGAAUAAGGAUCGGCUAACUCCGUGCCAGCAGCCGCGGUAAUACGGAGGAUCCGAGCGUUAUCCGGAUUUAUUGGGUUUAAAGAGUUGCGUAGGUGGCGUAGUAAAUGGCUAGUGGAAUCUGGUGGCUCAACCAUUCAGACUGUUAGCUAAACUGUUAAGCUCGAGGCCGUUAGGGGUAACUGGAAUUUCUGGUGUAGGGGUGAAAUCCGUAGAUAUUAGGAGGAACACCAAUGGCGUAGGCAGGUUACUGGGACGGUUCUGACACUGAGGCACGAAAGCGUGGGGAGCAAACAGGAUUAGAUACCCCGGUAGUC